UGGAAGUGCUGUGAGGCAUUAAGCUAACUCGUACUAAUUACCCGUGAGGCUUAACCAUACAACGCCAAAGUGGUUU
This 76-nucleotide ribosomal RNA is filed under the name Pseudoalteromonas sp. CO342X. RNAcentral's name for it is "partial 23S ribosomal RNA". The record is from RNAcentral. Lineage: Bacteria; Pseudomonadati; Pseudomonadota; Gammaproteobacteria; Alteromonadales; Pseudoalteromonadaceae.